GUCCACGCCGUAAACGUUGGGCACUAGGUGUUGCGGGUAUUGACCCCUGCAGUGCCGAAGCUAACGCAUUAAGUGCCCCGCCUGGGGAGUACGGUCGCAAGGCUAAAACUCAAAGGAAUUGACGGGGCCCGCACAAGCGGUGGAGUAUGUGGUUCAAUUCGACGCAACGCGAAGAACCUUACCUGGGUUUGACAUCCCGAGAAUCCUGUAGAAAUACGGGAGUGCCUCUUUGAGGAGCUCGGUGACAGGUGCUGCAUGGCUGUCGU
This 266-nucleotide ribosomal RNA is filed under the name uncultured bacterium. RNAcentral describes it as "partial 16S ribosomal RNA". It matches the Rfam family "Bacterial small subunit ribosomal RNA", at positions 793 to 1055 of the family's 1533-position model. The record is from RNAcentral.